Molecule: long non-coding RNA, 237 nt
Filed under: Physcomitrium patens
Lineage: Eukaryota; Viridiplantae; Streptophyta; Bryopsida; Funariales; Funariaceae
Description: long non-coding RNA (PPAT_LNC005709)
Source: RNAcentral
AUCUAGCUGCCACCUAUACACCCUAGCUACCACCUACAAAUCCUACAAGCCACCAUACUUACUUCUUUAUAUUCUUUGCUUUUUUUUAUCACUAGCAACUUAUCUAAGGUAAUAUCUUUUACUAAGUGACUUACUUCAAAACUCCCACUUUGCUAUUGGUCAAAGGGCUUUCAAUCCUAAAGCCUUUGUCAAUAUGUGAUGUCUAUCCAUUACUAAUGCCUUUGUCAACAAAUCAGC